AUCUACGGCCAUAGGACUGAGAAAAUACCGCAUCCCGUCCGAUCUGCGAAGUCAAGCUCAGUACCGCUCGGUUAGUACCAUGGUGGGGGACCACAUGGGAAUCCCGGGUGUCGUAGUUUUUC
This 122-nucleotide ribosomal RNA is filed under the name Cutaneotrichosporon oleaginosum. The record is from RNAcentral. Lineage: Eukaryota; Fungi; Basidiomycota; Tremellomycetes; Trichosporonales; Trichosporonaceae.